Molecule: long non-coding RNA, 1243 nt
Organism: Ipomoea nil (Japanese morning glory)
Lineage: Eukaryota; Viridiplantae; Streptophyta; Magnoliopsida; Solanales; Convolvulaceae
Exons: 6
Source: RefSeq, a predicted model, not a curated record
CAUGGUAUGAUGAAGAGCAGAUGAAGGAUAUGGAUGAAGCACAUUUUAUCGCAUUGCAUAAUCCGGACUAUUUUUCAACAGAUAUUGGAUAUGCAACUUCACAGGAUUAGACAGUUCAUCUGCGUUGCUCAAGUUAUUGAGGCUUCAGGAGGUGGUCACCCGGUGUUGUCUAUUUGGUGUACAUUCCUUGAAGAAAGUCUUUAUCUACUGGCAGCAAUGGUUUUGAACAUGAUAUUGUGGAAUCUGGUAUUCGUUUUUGAGGUUCAGACAGACAUGAAUAGAUAUUUUUUUCCAGAAUUGGGUUUGUUUAUUUCUUGCAUAUUGCAACAUCUAUCAUAUCACCAAUUGGCUUGAAAUUGGUUAUAAGAUUGAAGAUGGUAGCAGGCUGUUAAAACAUAUAAGUGAAGGGUUAUAAUGUAUAUACAACAGGGAUAGAGAGAUGGAGCAAUCAAGUGUUAUUUAAGGGAUAUUCAAUCUCGCAGUAUCCUUCUUAAUGAUAAAUACGAGGUCAGGCUGGGAAGUCUGAGCAAAGUUUGUGUUCAGGGCAUCGAUAAUCAUGAGAAUAUGAUCUCAAAAUUUCUGCGAAUACCACAGGAGUUCUGCUUCGCGGAAUAAUUAAAGAUGUUGGAAUUCUGUGUUCUUGUGGGAUGUGCAAGGGAUCCAUAUAGUUGUCCCUCCUUGUAAAUUUGAGAUUCAUUCAUGUAAGUCAUAUAGGCGAGCAUCACAGUAUAUCUGCCUUGAAAAUGGGAAGAGCCUCCUUGAUGUAGUUAAGGAGUGCAGGAAAUGUUCAUUAAAGACAUUGGAAGAAACAAUUCUGAGUUUUAUUGGGCCGGCUCCUGUAAAGGAAGCCAUUGUCUGUCAGAAUUGCAAGGUGCCAUUCCUUACAACAUCUGCUGCAAAUCUUCAACUAUGUGAUUCAUGCUUGAUUGUUACAAGAUCAGAAGAUGAAGUGGGGUAAGCUUGAUUUUGAAUUUUGAAAUGCACUCUUGUAUUUUAUGUCAUCUGUUUUGUAAUAAUUUAAGACUUGUUGGAUUUCUAGUGAGUGAAACAAGGCUUGAUUUCAGAUAGAUGUGUGUUUUUGCUGCAAGUACUAAAAGGUUGCAGUGUUUGAAGUACAUAAAUGAUAAAAUUAGUUCCAGAUUUUAAUUAGUAGAUUAAUGAUUUAAUGGACACUAGUAGUCUGUGCUUAUGUGAUUUUGAAGUGAGUAAACCAAUUCUGUUUUUUCAAAUAGUAGUUGAAGUA